This 254-nucleotide ribosomal RNA is filed under the name uncultured bacterium. RNAcentral describes it as "partial 16S ribosomal RNA". It matches the Rfam family "Bacterial small subunit ribosomal RNA", at positions 524 to 776 of the family's 1533-position model. The record is from RNAcentral.
UACGGAGGGGGCUAGCGUUGUUCGGAAUUACUGGGCGUAAAGCGCACGUAGGCGGACCUGUUAAGUCGGGGGUGAAAUCCUGGGGCUCAACCUCAGAAUUGCCUCCGAUACUGGCAGUCUCGAGUGCGGGAGAGGUGAGUGGAAUUCCCAGUGUAGAGGUGAAAUUCGUAGAUAUUGGGAAGAACACCAGUGGCGAAGGCGGCUCACUGGCCCGUAACUGACGCUGAGGUGCGAAAGCGUGGGGAGCAAACAGG